RNAcentral lists this ribosomal RNA (245 nucleotides) under uncultured bacterium. Its description in RNAcentral is "partial 16S ribosomal RNA". It matches the Rfam family "Bacterial small subunit ribosomal RNA", at positions 524 to 768 of the family's 1533-position model. The record is from RNAcentral.
UACGGAAGGUGCAAGCGUUAUCCGGUUUUAUUGGGUUUAAAGGGUGCGUAGGCGGCUUGUUAAGUCAGUUGUGAAAUCCUAGCGCUCAACGUUAGAACUGCGAUUGAUACUGAUAGGCUUGAGUCAAGAAGAGGUAGGUAGAAUUUAUGGUGUAGUAGUGAAAUGCUUAGAUAUCAUAAGGAAUACCAAUAGCGUAGGCAGCUUACUGGUCUUGAACUGACGCUGAGGCACGAAAGCGUGGGGAG